This 534-nucleotide long non-coding RNA is filed under the name Medicago truncatula (barrel medic). Its description in RNAcentral is "lncRNA gene39876". The record is from RNAcentral. Lineage: Eukaryota; Viridiplantae; Streptophyta; Magnoliopsida; Fabales; Fabaceae.
AUAAAUAUAAUUUUACGGGCUUAAAAGUAACAUAAAAACUAUCUUUGAAUUUAAUUAUCAAAGUUAAUAUGAUAGGUGGUAGGAUUCAAAAUAAAAUAUAAUACAUAUGAUAUUAAGUGAGUAGAAGACUAUCUAAAUAAUAUUAUUUGUUGCCUCAAUCAUUUUAUUGAUUAUAAAGUCCAUCAACAUAUAAACAUAAGUAAAUGAUAGCUCCCACAUCAUUCAAACACAUGUGCAUACGCCUGAUUUUGAAGAAAGUGGUAGUUUUGGGCUUACAACACACCUUGGUUUUGAAGGUUUUUUACACAUAUCUUUUGGACAAUGAGAAUCUUGAGAACAUUUAUUAAUUGCUGUAAUGAAAAAAGAGAAUAAAAAUAUAUUAUUAAAAUAAUAUAUGAUAUUAUGUACAGAGUAACUAAGAAAAGUUAAAAAGAUUAAAAAUUGAUUACCAUUAACGUUUGUUGCAACAAGAAAUAGUGAAAGAAAGAUAAUCAUAACAUAAAUAAACUUGAGAAUUUUAACCAUAGUUUCUCU